RNAcentral lists this ribosomal RNA (253 nucleotides) under uncultured bacterium. Its description in RNAcentral is "partial 16S ribosomal RNA". It matches the Rfam family "Bacterial small subunit ribosomal RNA", at positions 524 to 776 of the family's 1533-position model. The record is from RNAcentral.
UACAGAGGUCUCGAGCGUUAGGCGGAAUCACUGGGCUUAAAGCGUGUGUAGGCGGGUCGUUAAGUGCCUUGUGAAAUCCCAUGGCUCAACCAUGGAACUGCUGGGCAUACUGGCGAUCUUGUGCAACCUAGGGGCGAGCGGAACAGAUGGUGGAGCGGUGAAAUGCGUAGAUAUCCUCUGGAACGCCAAUGGUGAAAACAGCUCGCUGGGGGUUUGCAGACGCUGAGACACGAAAGCCAGGGGAGCGAACGGG